This 318-nucleotide ribosomal RNA is filed under the name Triticum aestivum (bread wheat). RNAcentral describes it as "partial small subunit ribosomal RNA". Lineage: Eukaryota; Viridiplantae; Streptophyta; Magnoliopsida; Poales; Poaceae. The record is from RNAcentral.
AUGGACCAAUCCAUCCCUUUUUCCCGUGCAUAUGCAUCGGACUCAGAUGACGAUGGUCCCGAUGAAGAAGUUGAUGAGGAGGGGUUCACGCCGAAGGAGGCCCAAGCAUUCAAGAAGGUAUUCGGGCGGGAUCACAAGACACCAUUGUUCAAGGAUCUUAGUCUCGCAGAUGAAGCCGUUGUGGAUGGUGGCAAAUGCAUUUCUCUUGGAGUUAGGCCAAGUUCUCACCGUGAUUUCGAAGACCGCAAGAACGGGAUAUAUCCCGGUUGUGAGUUUGAAUCCUUCUUGGAAUUGAAGAUGUGGCUCGACAACUACUAG